Molecule: ribosomal RNA, 535 nt
Filed under: uncultured bacterium
Lineage: Bacteria
Description: bacterial SSU rRNA
Rfam family: Bacterial small subunit ribosomal RNA
Source: RNAcentral
CCUAGUGGCGGACGGGUGAGUAACGCGUGGGUAACCUGCCAUAUACAGGGGGAUAACACUUAGAAAUAGGUGCUAAUACCGCAUAAGCGCACAGGGGCGCAUGCCCCGGUGCGAAAAACUCCGGUGGUAUAUGAUGGACCCGCGUCUGAUUAGCCAGUUGGCAGGGUAACGGCCUACCAAAGCGACGAUCAGUAGCCGGCCUGAGAGGGUGGACGGCCACAUUGGGACUGAGACACUGCCCAAACUCCUACGGGAGGCAGCAGUGGGGGAUAUUGCACAAUGGGGGAAACCCUGAUGCAGCGACGCCGCGUGAGUGAAGAAGUAUUUCGGUAUGUAAAGCUCUAUCAGCAGGGAAGAAAAUGACAGUACCUGACCAAGAAGCCCCGGCUAACUACGUGCCAGCAGCCGCGGUAAUACGUAGGGGGCAAGCGUUAUCCGGAUUUACUGGGUGUAAAGGGAGCGUAGACGGUUAUGUAAGUCUGGAGUGAAAGCCCGGGGCCCAACCCCGGGACUGCUUUGGAAACUGUGUAACUGG